CGACGGAGCGGACUUUUUCGAAAGCGAGCUUAGUGGCGAACGGGUGACUAACACAUGGAUGAUCUGCCCCGAAGCGGGGGACAACAGUUCGAAAGGACUGCUAAUACCGCAUAAGCUCUACGAGUUUAGAAGUUGUAGAGUAAAGGAAAUUAUUUCACUUCGGGAGGAAUCUGUGGCCCAUCAGCUAGUUGGUAGGGUAACGGCCUACCAAGGCGAAGACGGGUAGGGGACCUGAGAGGGUGGCCCCCCACAAUGGAACUGAAACACGGUCCAUACAUCUACGGAUGGCAGCAGUAGGGAAUAUUGCCCAAUGGACGAAAGUCUGAGGCAGCAACGCCGCGUGUGCGAAGAAGGUCUUCGGAUUGUAAAGCACUUUUGACAGGGAAGAGGAAGGACAGUACCUGUAGAAUAAGCCUCGGCUAACUACGUGCCAGCAGCCGCGGUAACACGUAGGAGGCAAGCGUUAUCCGGAUUUACUGGGCGUAAAGCGCGUGCAGGCGGGCAUGUAAGUUGGAUGUGAAAUCUCCCGGCUUAACUGGGAGAGGUCGUUCAAUACUGCUAGACUAGAGAAUGGGAGAGGGAGGUGGAAUUCCGGGUGUAGUGGUGAAAUGCGUAGAUAUCCGGAGGAACACCAGUGGCGAAAGCGGCCUCCUAGACCAUUUCUGACGCUAAGACACGAAAGCUAGGGUA
RNAcentral lists this ribosomal RNA (690 nucleotides) under uncultured bacterium. Its description in RNAcentral is "bacterial SSU rRNA". It matches the Rfam family "Bacterial small subunit ribosomal RNA", at positions 63 to 767 of the family's 1533-position model. The record is from RNAcentral.